RNAcentral lists this ribosomal RNA (279 nucleotides) under uncultured bacterium. RNAcentral describes it as "partial 16S ribosomal RNA". It matches the Rfam family "Bacterial small subunit ribosomal RNA", at positions 62 to 339 of the family's 1533-position model. The record is from RNAcentral.
UCGAACGGCAGCACGGGAGCUUGCUCCUGGUGGCGAGUGGCGGACGGGUGAGUAACGCGUGGGAAUCUACCUACUAGCGGGGGAUAGCCCGGAGAAAUUCGGAUUAAUACCGCAUAAGCCCUACGGGGGAAAGCUGGGGGAUCUUCGGACCUGGCACUAGUAGAUGAGCCCGCGUUAGAUUAGCUAAUUGGUGGGGUAAGGGCCUACCAAGGCGACGAUCUAUAGCUGGUCUGAGAGGAAGAUCAGCCACACUGGGACUGAGACACGGCCCAGGACUCC